Molecule: ribosomal RNA, 465 nt
Filed under: Vreelandella stevensii
Lineage: Bacteria; Pseudomonadati; Pseudomonadota; Gammaproteobacteria; Oceanospirillales; Halomonadaceae
Description: partial 16S ribosomal RNA
Rfam family: Bacterial small subunit ribosomal RNA
Source: RNAcentral
CCUACGGGGGGCUGCAGUGGGGAAUAUUGGACAAUGGGCGAAAGCCUGAUCCAGCCAUGCCGCGUGUGUAAAGAAGGCCUUCGGGUUGUAAAGCACUUUUAGUGGGGAAGAAAGCCUUGGGGCUAAUACCCUCGAGGAAGGACAUCACCCACAGAAGAAGCACCGGCUAACUCCGUGCCAGCAGCCGCGGUAAUACGGAGGGUGCGAGCGUUAAUCGGAAUUACUGGGCGUAAAGCGCGCGUAGGCGGUCUGAUAAGCCGGUUGUGAAAGCCCCGGGCUCAACCUGGGAACGGCAUCCGGAACUGUCAGGCUAGAGUGCAGGAGAGGAAGGUAGAAUUCCCGGUGUAGCGGUGAAAUGCGUAGAGAUCGGGAGGAAUACCAGUGGCGAAGGCGGCCUUCUGGACUGACACUGACGCUGAGGUGCGAAAGCGUGGGUAGCAAACAGGAUUAGAUACCCUGGUAGUC